This 427-nucleotide ribosomal RNA is filed under the name Bacillota bacterium. RNAcentral describes it as "Firmicutes bacterium partial 16S ribosomal RNA". It matches the Rfam family "Bacterial small subunit ribosomal RNA", at positions 355 to 776 of the family's 1533-position model. The record is from RNAcentral. Lineage: Bacteria; Bacillati; Bacillota.
UAGGGAAUCUUCGGCAAUGGACGGAAGUCUGACAGCAACGCCGCGUGAGUGAAGAAGGUUUUCGGAUCGUAAAGCUCUGUUGUUAGAGAAGAACGUUGGUAGGAGUGGAAAAUCUACCAAGUGACGGUAACUAACCAGAAAGGGACGGCUAACUACGUGCCAGCAGCCGCGGUAAUACGUAGGUCCCGAGCGUUGUCCGGAUUUAUUGGGCGUAAAGCGAGCGCAGGCGGUUCUUUAAGUCUGAAGUUAAAGGCAGUGGCUUAACCAUUGUACGCUUUGGAAACUGGAGGACUUGAGUGCAGAAGAGGAGAGUGGAAUUCCAUGUGUAGCGGUGAAAUGCGUAGAUAUAUGGAGGAACACCGGUGGCGAAAGCGGCUCUCUGGUCUAUAACUGACGCUGAGGCUCGAAAGCGUGGGGAGCAAACAGG